ACUGGGGGAGGAUCAUUG
Molecule: ribosomal RNA, 18 nt
Filed under: Spyridium halmaturinum
Lineage: Eukaryota; Viridiplantae; Streptophyta; Magnoliopsida; Rosales; Rhamnaceae
Description: partial 18S ribosomal RNA
Source: RNAcentral